This 347-nucleotide ribosomal RNA is filed under the name uncultured bacterium. RNAcentral's name for it is "partial 16S ribosomal RNA". It matches the Rfam family "Bacterial small subunit ribosomal RNA", at positions 338 to 682 of the family's 1533-position model. The record is from RNAcentral.
CCUACGGGCGGCAGCAGUGAGGAAUAUUGGUCAAUGGGCGCUAGCCUGAACCAGCCAAGUAGCGUGAAGGAUGACUGCCCUAUGGGUUGUAAACUUCUUUUAUAUGGGAAUAAAGUGCAGUAUGUAUACUGCUUUGCAUGUACCUUAUGAAUAAGGAUAGGCUAACUCCGUGCCAGCAGCCGCGGUAAGACGGAGGAUCCGAGCGUUAUCCGGAUUUAUUGGGGUUAAAGGGAGCGUAGGCGGGUUGUUAAGUCAGUUGUGACAGUUUUCGGCUCAACCGUAAAAUUGCCGUUGAUACUGGCAUCCUUGAGUACAGUAGAGGUAGGCGGCAUUCGUCGUGUAGCGGU